Molecule: ribosomal RNA, 793 nt
Filed under: uncultured archaeon
Lineage: Archaea
Description: bacterial SSU rRNA
Rfam family: Archaeal small subunit ribosomal RNA
Source: RNAcentral
ACGGCUCAGUAACACGUAGAUAACCUGCCCUUGGGUCCGGCAUAACCCCGGGAAACUGGGGAUAAUUCCGGAUAACGCAUAUAUGCUGGAAUGCUUUAUGCGUCAAAUGGAUUCGUCUGCCCAAGGAUGGGUCUGCGGCCUAUCAGGUAGUAGUGGGUGUAAUGUACCUACUAGCCAACGACGGGUACGGGUUGUGAGAGCAAGAGCCCGGAGAUGGAUUCUGAGACAUGAAUCCAGGCCCUACGGGGCGCAGCAGGCGCGAAAACUUUACAAUGCGGGAAACCGUGAUAAGGGGACACCGAGUGCCAGCAUCAUAUGCUGGCUGUCCAGGUGUUUAAACUACACCUGUUAGCAAGGGCCGGGCAAGACCGGUGCCAGCCGCCGCGGUAACACCGGCGGCCCGAGUGGUGGUCGUGAUUAUUGGGUCUAAAGGGUCCGUAGCCGGUUUGGUCAGUCCUCCGGGAAAUCUGAUAGCUUAACUAUUAGGCUUUCGGGGGAUACUGCCAGGCUUGGAACCGGGAGAGGUAAGAGGUACUACAGGGGUAGGAGUGAAAUCUUGUAAUCCCUGUGGGACCACCUGUGGCGAAGGCGUCUUACCAGAACGGGUUCGACGGUGAGGGACGAAAGCUGGGGGCACGAACCGGAUUAGAUACCCGGGUAGUCCCAGCCGUAAACGAUGCUCGCUAGGUGUCAGGCAUGGCGCGACCGUGUCUGGUGCCGCAGGGAAGCCGUGAAGCGAGCCACCUGGGAAGUACGGCCGCAAGGCUGAAACUUAAAGGAAUUGGCGGGGGAG